GCCAUCUUCCACGCCAGUUCCCAGGAGUUAAGCUCCCAUCCUUCUCCUCCACCCAGACUCCUUAGUCUGACCCCAGCCCCCUCCACCCCACCGCGACCACACAAGGGCCUCAUCUGGGAGGAUGAGAUGAAAGUUCUAGUCAGAGAGGGGUCGGUCUGCGAGAUCCUGGAACAAUAGGCGGGGCCUCCCUUUGUUGCCGUCCAAUCAGACUCAGAGUUGGGUUUGUGGGCGGGGCCAAGGAAACUCGCCCAGACUGUCGCUAGAGAAGUCGGCGCCCCAAGGAGAAAGGAAGAGGGACUCUGUGGGAUUGAGGCGACCUUCGAGUCUGACUCCAGUCAUAAAGCUCUCCACGUCACGUGACCAACCUCACCCUCGAUCCACAACAUCCUCAAUUUUAGCCGUGGCAAAUAGAGUGGAAGGACGUGGCCUGCUCGUCCCCUCUAAAGGCCCCCAGCCUGGAUUCGGCCCUUCAGCGAACCCGAGUAUUCCAGGGUGCAACAUUCAAGGUCAAGGUCGGGCAGCGGCUGUCUAGGGUGCAUCGGGACUCCGGACUCCUCGGUUUCCUAACCGAGAAGGGGGAGCCCUGCAAAUUGGGGGGUCUUAAUCUCGGGGAAGGGGUUCUUUCCGGUCAGCGAUCACCUCCUCCGAGUGGGGUGGGAGGACCCUCCCCGGGGUUCUGUGCGGGGCUGAGCCCCCUGGCCUCAAUGGGUCCCCAAGUAGCCCUCCUGGUGGCGGCGCUGGCCGGCUGCCUGCUUCCUGCCCGGAGCUGUGUCACUUGUGAUCCAAGGGUCGUGGCCGCGCUGGACGCCUUGGAAAAGGAAUACCUGCCUACCCACCUCGCCCCCGGGCGUCACAGAGAAGUGAUGGAAAAGAUAAGACAAACCGUGAGGAAUUUCCGGGACCUGCCAGAUUUAGAGGAUACCUUUCUGGGGGUUAUCGAUGAGGCCACAAUGGAAACGUCAGUCUUGAGUUUUCUGAGGAGUGUGAGACUUAUCAGAAACAGUGGUGUAGCAGAUGACACUUUCGUGAAGGAGUUCUCCUGGAUGUUGACUCUGGAAAAGGCAGCCUUUCGUGGCUACGUCACUCGAUUCCAAAGAGAGGAUUUCUGUCCCAACAAAUGUGGUACAAUGUUGCAGCUUCUGAUCUGGUGCAGUAACUGUAAAAAGCAGCUUCACGUUUGUCGAAAAUCCAGAGAUUGUGGGGUGCGCCAAAUCAACGUCCAUGAAACGGAAGACCUGAUCCUGGACUGUGAGCUCGACUGGCAUAAAUUAUCUCAAGGCCUGACCUAUUACAGCUUUUACAGGGUUUGGGGGAGCAAUUCUGAGACCUUGGUGUCCGAGGGGAAACGGCCCACCCUGAUCAAGCGACUGGUGAGGCCAGAGGAUGCGGGUAACUACCGCUGCGAGUUGGGCACUGAGCGAUCCGGCCCAGCCACGGUCAUCCAUUUUGAAGUCACAGUGUUGCCCAAAAGAGUCAUUGAGGAGAUCCCGAAAUCAAAGCCCGGGACCCAGUAUCAGUGGUUCCGAUCCCUCAAGCCGUCAGAGUGUCUGAAUCCCAAGGACGUGCUGAGAGGCUUUCUGUUCGAGAUGCUGAUCUGGGGCUUUGUGUUUCUGAUCCUCGGCUUUGCCACCUCGUGAGCCGCCUCCCGGAGAAGGCAGGGCUUGGGGCGAGGGGCGGGGUCUCCAACGUCCUGACCGUACUUUGCUUUAGGUCUGGGACCCUGAUCCAUUCGGUCAUGUCCUGGGUCCGUACCGACAAGGCAGCAGCCCCAGAGGACCAGGGUCCACAAAGUGGGCUGUCACAGACCCAGCUAUCACAGAGCCAGGUGUCACAGACCCAGCUUCCCAAGGUACCGAACGAAGAAAAGGCCACAGCACCAAGGCUUAAAUAAAGAUUUAUCUGGUUGCCUAAA
Acinonyx jubatus (cheetah) is the source of this 1912-nucleotide RNA transcript. It is a transcript of the gene named izumo sperm-egg fusion protein 1-like, with no coding region annotated. NCBI's taxonomy places the organism in Eukaryota, Metazoa, Chordata, Mammalia, Carnivora, Felidae. The transcript is spliced from 9 exons. The record is from RefSeq and is a predicted model, not a curated record.